This 286-nucleotide unclassified non-coding RNA is filed under the name uncultured fungus. RNAcentral describes it as "sequence contains ITS1". The stretch from base 1 to 98 matches the Rfam family "5.8S ribosomal RNA", at positions 49 to 154 of the family's 154-position model. The record is from RNAcentral. Lineage: Eukaryota; Fungi.
UAAAGUGCGAAAUGAAGUGCGAUUUGCAUGAAUCUGUGAGUCAUCAUAUCUUUGAACGCAACUUGCGCCAUUAGUUUGGCAUGUCUGUUUGAGAACGGGAAAACAAUGCACCUGAUGCGACAUGACCGGAUAUAUGUGAGUAUAUUUGGUUGAAACACGAAAAUUCGGUUGAAACUGUUGGAAACCGUGUGCCAGAGCCCUGUGCUUCUCACGGAUUCUUAACAGCCAAACCACAAAUUAUUAAACUAAACGUCUCAAAUCAGGCAAGACUACCCGCUGAACUUAA